Molecule: long non-coding RNA, 8320 nt
Filed under: Brassica rapa (field mustard)
Lineage: Eukaryota; Viridiplantae; Streptophyta; Magnoliopsida; Brassicales; Brassicaceae
Description: long non-coding RNA (BRAP_LNC006324)
Source: RNAcentral
ACUGUAUAUCCUCAUUCAUAUGUCUUCAAUUCAUUACCAAUAAGCAAACCAUAAAUUAGAAUCUGCACAUUUAGAUUAGAUAGUUAAGCAAGUCUACAUUCUUUUUUUGCUGCAAUAACUUAGAAGUUAACAGAGGAAAGGAAUAAAAAGAGCGAUUUUUUGUUGUUGUCGUUAUCACAAACAAACACAAGAAUCGGACACAUGCAAAAAAACUCAAAGCAUGGCUGAAUGAGGAUUAAUCUCAGCUUCUGGGUUUUAAGACAAGGCAAGCAUCUGAAUCUUCCCAAGCUCUCAACUGCACAACACGGUUACAAUGGUACUGUAAGGGAAGGAGUCAAACGAAAGAUAUCAAAAUCCAAAGUAUGCAGAAAGUGAGAGCUAUGCAAUGAUUAGAGACUUUAACAUUAGUAAUCUGCAUGUUUAAUGUAAUGUGAUUAGCUUAUGAACAUCUCAAUAACAUUUAAUCAAAUCCUAAAGUCCCUAGAUGAUUGAUUUAAACAAUGUACUAAAUACUAACCCUUGGUUAUCAAUAUUCCCAUGGCCGCCUCUACUCCCUCCACUUCCAUAAACACGUCAUCACCUCCCCCUGAACUCUGCCAAACGCCCUGCCACGCAUGAAAAGGAGCCUCCCGAUUAGCAGCAGGCUGACCCAUGGGCGGGUUAUUUAUUUACUCCCUCCGUUUUUUUAUAUAAAUCGUUUUAUAGCUAUGCACAUAGAUUAAGAAAACCAUUAAUUUUUUAUAUUUUCUAAACAAAAACAUCAUUAAUUAUUUACCUAACCACAAUUCAACCAAUAGAAAAAUAAAAGAUAUAUUACCAUUGGUCAUACAACAUUAAUUACUAAUAAAUUUUACAUAGAAAACCGAAAACGACAUAUAAUUUGGAACAAAAAAAAUUUUCUACAACGACUUAUAUUAAAAAACGGAGGGAGUAUUUAUUUUUUUGAUCAAAUUUGUUAUUUAUUUUAUUAAUUUAUUUUUAUACUAUAAUUUGACAAAACGAUGCCGUAUUUUGAAGCGUUCACUGUGCUGGUCGCUGGAGAAGAAAUAUAAAUCCGAGUAUUGUGAAUACGACGACGAUGACGACGCAGGAGCUGGCGAUGGAAGGGGAGAAGCAUUUGGAAGAAACUAUCGUGUCUGCUUUUCAGAUCAUUUCCGCUAUGGAUGAUGAGCUUUGCAAUCCUUCUUUGUGGUCUACACCAGCCACCGCGAGUUCUAACGGUACGGCUAUCGUUCCCGCCGACGCGGCUGCGAUUGACGGAGCACCGCAUCAUUCGGAGUCUGGUGGCGGGGGGAGUGGGAAUAGUGCUCUGGAUGAAGCUAGUGUUCGGUAUAAGAACUCCGUGACUUCUCUUCGUGCUGUUCUUGUUGCGAUUCCUAAUUCGAAGAAGGUAAUGAACAUAAUGGUGUUACUUACCAUUAGGUUUAGGUGAAGGAUCUAUAAUGUACGUUCAUCUGUAACAGGCAAAAGCAUCUGUAAUGGAAAACGGUUUAGAAACUCCUGAAAGUGUAGAAGAAAUCGAAAAGUUAGAGGAGCAAGCCAUAAGUCUCAGACAGGUAAACAUUAGCUUAAGCUGUUCUAGAACCAUGAGAACUAUGUUGAGUAGACUCGUUCGCUGAUCUGUAAACGUUGGUAAAUGCAGGAGAUUGCAAAGAAGAAUGUUCAUGUAAAAGAACUUAUCGACAAGUUUCGAGAACUUAUAGCAGAUAUCUCCACAUGGCAAAGCCCUUGUUAUGUUUGAGUUUUUUUUUCUCUUAUUUGACAAUGGUGUGAUCAGUUAAGACAAGGUGCUAAGCCUUUGUUCUUGAACUCCUCACUUGAAACAUGAAUUUGUAUAUAUAAAUAUUUCAGACAAAAUCUUCAAACCUCUUGUGUUUUCAGUUGCAUCACACUUUUUUUGUUUGUUUGUAUCGAUCUGUAAGAGAACUUGAUUGUCUCUGUGAGGAGUCACUGUCCGGCUCUCUUGAGAUAAGCCAUAAAACCAAGACCAGCUACUAAUGCUGCACCAGCCGCUACUCCACUGUAAGUAGCACCCCAACCGUCUCUCUCCACAUACUCCAUUGCUUCUGCUGACACUAUCGCUCUUCUUCUUCGUCCUUUGCCUUUUCUUGAAUCAUCUAAAUGUAAUCUCAGACUCUGCAAUUUUAUAAUAAUCCAAUCAAUUCAGAUAGCAAACAUCUCGUUAAGAUCUUCAUCUGUAACUACUUUUACCUUCCAGCCGAUUGAUUUUGCAUGGUCUAUGGCUGCUUGAAGGUCACUAUCUGAAGCCAACAACACUUUAUCGUGGUCUUCGUCUUCAUACUGCAGAUUACAACCACCAUUAUAACAUUUCGGAAAAAGAUUUGCAUCGUUAUUUUGUAAAAAAGGUUAUAUACGUACAAAAAUUUGGGGUAUGUUGUGGUCUGGAUCGAUAUCAUCCCCUAGUCUUUGAAGUAUCGCGGUUACCACUUCUGUCAAACUACGAGUGUCUGUAAUUCAAGAACCAAUCCAUGUGAGUACACACAAUAUUAAAACUGUUUGAUGAACAAAGACAAAGAUUUUGCUUUACCACUUAUGAAUCUGUGCAUUCUGUGCUUCUUGUCUUCGAUCUUGAAAGAAAAUGUAUUUGGCAAAGGUAAGGAUUUUCCUGUCUCAGCUUCAGAAGCAACUUUCAAAGAGCUUUCACUGAAAACAGUUGUUUUCCUAAGUCAGUUAAAACUAAGCUCAAUUCGGAAAGAAACAAGUAUAGCGGUUUAAGCGAGGUAGGCUAGUGACCUUCUCGUGUCCUCGUCUUCCUCAUUAGGAGACAAUGCCAUUGCUGAAUCCCAAAACUUUUGCAUCAUUGUGUUUGUUGCGUCGUUACCUAUUCCCGCAGUAGUUCCAGCCUGAUCGCAUAAAAAAUGAGAUCAGUGGAUUUGUCAUAAUCAAAACACUUUACAGAAGUUUCUAGAUAGGAUACUUACUGUGGCGACAGCAGCGUGAGUUACAUGGAUUACAUCGACAACUGCAACUACAUCUCCUUCUGCAAUCAGAAAGCCCUUUUGUUAUUUACAUACGUUUUGCCUAUUUAGUUGACUUGCAAUCCAAAAUGCAACAGAACAUUUUACCUUUGUCCGUAACAGGAAGGUGUAGAAAUUUCCCCUCGUGCAUGAUGUGCAGAGCUUCAACGAUUGGUGUGUCGGCUGACGCAGAUUCUGGAUUCUGAGUCAUAACCUACGAAUGAGAACAAACGAUUAAACUCGACUGAAAACAGGAAUCUAAAACAGUCGACUAUUUAGUCCAAAACUUAAGAACUGGAAACAUGAAGAGGAGACUAAUCUCUAAAUCCUCUUGACCAAAAAAGAAGAAGAAAAGAAUAUCGUAAAUCAUACUUGUUCCAUUGUGGUCUCAGAUGGAGGAAGAUUUUCAGCCACAACCCUCAUCAGUAUAUCCUUGGAACUAGAUAACAGACAAAACAAACUUUUAGACGUUAGUAUAAGUACAAGGAGGAAGACAAAUGACUUCAGUCACAGCAUAAUCAAUAAUCCAAAUGAAUACAUAAUUAACCAGAACUGAUGGGUAUCAGGCAGUUUAGUUUGGUUGAGCUGGGAUUCACUCGAAUAAAUCCAGCUUUUCUAGUUUUCUAUAUCGUUCUUUGAAGGAUGACAUGAGAUUUUCAUUUAGCUAGCUUAUAUCAUAGUAUCUGAAGGGGAAGUUGGUAGAACCACUUGAGCUGAGAAAGAGAUAAAAUGUUAGGCACUUUCAGAAAAGAGAACUCACGUAAAUAUCCCUCCAAGCUUGUCCUCGAUCAUCACGACUGCACAGCUUGAUUGAAGUUCAACCAUCUUCUUUGCGACAGUCAACACUGUAUCGGCUGGUGACACUUUCAAAACCCUGAACAAACACCAGCGAUGGGUAAGAAAAGAACACUCAAGAUUGUUGUAAUGAGAACUUAAUUAGAAAAAGAAGAGAUUACCUACUUUGAAUCAUCCGGUAUAAUUGUUGAUAAAGAAGGUCUAAACAUCCGGUCUCGUAGCGUUUCAAUGAAAGUGUUGUGAACUACAUUAACAAAAAAUCAAGAUAAUGAAAAUCUAAAAAUCUGAUAAGAUAAUAAUCCAAGAGAAAAUGAGAAUUGAACUGGGAAAGGUUCAGUUCCCUCACUCACCUGAAGUGUUUGUUCCCCAACUUCUUUCAACACCUUCUACAGCAGCAGCUAUAGCCUUACCCUUCUCAGCUGCCCUCUCCAUACGAGCAAUCGCAUCAUACAGACACUUUGCUAUAUCUAGCAGAGCAAUCACUUCUCCAUUUUCAACAACAGGCAGAUGUCUGAAUUUUCCUGCAGGAUCAAUACGCAAGGAUUAGAAAAAUAGAACAUUAGGCUCUUCUAACUUAAAGCAAACACACAAACCUAGGACCAUCUUCUGAAGAGCGUCAACAGCAAGUGUCUCAGAAAGAACAAACAACGGGUUCCUAGUCAUAACCUUGGACACAGGUGUUUCCUCCACAUUAACUUCCUGCGAUAUCACCCUUGUGGCUAUGUCCUGCAAACGUGAAGUAUCUUUAGCUUUUAUCUGUAACUUGCUUAGAUCAAUGAUAGUGUGAGAUUAUUACCCUGUCAGUAAGAAUCCCACAAAGCAUUUCAUUAGAAUCAGUCAACAACAAGGCAUCAACUUUCCGCGAAGCCAUGUUUUUACAAGCAUCAUAGAUACUAGUCGUUGCUGGAACUGUAAUGGCUUUCGAUAGCCUUAAACGCUUAACAGUUCGCUCUCCUCCCGUUAAACCCCUGCUUCCAAAAAAUCCAAAUUAAUGAUUAAAGUUAAAUCUAAUUUUUACUUAGCUUCUAAAGGAAUCAACAUUACAACGGAGAACGCGAAACGGUUAGAGAUCUCCGGCCAGUGUCGAGGCCUCGUUCGCCGAGUUCCAUGGAUUUCUUCUUCCCGUGCAAAGACGAAGUCGUUACGGAUAAGCUCCGUCUUGAAGACCCGCCUUGGCUAGCCAUUUCGUUCUACUGUAGGAUUAGUAAAAUCGAUUUUGAUUAGAGCAAACAGUGAGAAUCGCAGAGGGAAUCAGAGGUGUGUUUGGAUUCGUCGGGGUCAACUUAUCGAGAGAAGGUAAUGGUAGUUUGGGAUUAGUAGUUAUCCGUGGCAGGAUGACUCUUUCUCGAUUGUUCGUGAGGAGGAUGAUGGCAAGAGAGAAACGACGAAUCCUUCCGAGAAAGUGACGGGAAAAUGAGAGAAAGGUUUUGUGAUUUUUUUUUUUUUUUUUUUUCGUCUCUCUCUCCCUCUCUCUCUUCUCUCAAUCGGAUGGAUUCUUUGACUCCGAUGCUUUUGCUUGCAACUUGGCCGUGGCUCGUUUUUUUAUUUUGGACAGUGUUUAUUGAUUUAUUGGUAAUUUACAAUUGUAUCCUCGAGAAAUGCGAUUGAUAACUGUAUCAGAGAUUUGUUUCCCAUUAUGCGGAGGGGUUUAUUGUCAUUGUUUAUUUAUGGUCACUAUUACACACGAGUUGAUACUUUCUGGAUUUCGUUUCAUUUUUUUUUAUUUCGUUGUUGGAUUUUGUCAUUACUCUUUUAUUUAUUUGUUUUAGGCUUUUAGCAAUUUGUGAUUAGGAAUUUAAAGCUGUUUUUAAUAAAUUAAAACAAGUAAAUUUAUUAGGAGUUCAAAAAACUAUGUUCUAUCUGGAUAAACUUCUAGAUAAAGAAAAAAAUAAAAUGAUAAUGAAACUUCUGCUAAAUUUUAAAUAAUGUAUUAAUGGUUCAUGGAUUUGUUCCAUCGAUGGUUUGCAAUCUGUGUGAAAUAAAGGACUAAAAACUGUGCGAAUAAAAAAAAAUGAUUUACAGAAAUUUUAAUUUUGUAUUUUUGAAGAAAAAAAAAGUGCUUCAGAAUGAGCAAAGCCAAGGGUGUAUAAAACGACGCCGUCUCAAUUACUAUUGGGCUUCGCAAGGAUCAAAGCCACUAACCCGUCUCUGCUACAAUUAGGUCCAUUAAGGCCCAAUUUAAAUUUUCUUCAUUUUCAUCUGAAUCUCUCGACGGCCACUCUCUCUCUCAAGCUUCGCAAAUCCGUGAAGAAUCCAAAAGUCCACACCAAUGGCGACUUCAAUAUCUCGAUCCUCUCGGAGAGGAGUAGCUUCCACCCUGAUCCGUCGCUGCUUCGCUGCGGAAGCGGCACUCGCGGCGCGUACGGAGCCACCGAAGCCUAAACUAACGGUGUCGCCGUCUCCGGAUCGUGUGAAGUGGGACUACAGGGGACAGAGACAGAUCAUUCCCUUGGGACAGUGGCUCCCCAAGGUAGCCGUUGACGCCUACGUGGCACCCAACGUCGUGUUGGCAGGUCAGGUCACGGUCUGGGACGGCUCCUCCGUCUGGAACGGCGCCGUUUUGCGCGGCGAUCUCAACAAAAUCACGCUCGGGUUCUGCUCGAAUGUUCAGGAACGGUGCGUUGUCCAUGCCGCGUGGUCGUCCCCAACAGGUUGUUGUUGUUGUUUCCUCCAUUUUCGGACAUCUUGAUGAUUAUCUAAUGUCUGGUUUUGUUGCUGGUAGUGGAAUCAAGAUAAUGUUAUAUAGGAGGGACUUAGUGGUUUAGAUUCGUUGAGGUUGUGUAUGUGAUAGGAAUCUGGAAUCUUACUGAGGAGGUGUGCUUGAGCUUAGUAUUGAGAGUUUGAGUAGAUUAGUGCACAUGGUGGAUCAUCUUGGGUAGCAGUAGGAAACAAUGAGUUAUAUAUCAUUCAACAUACCAAGAGUACACUCAAUCAUGUUUCAGUCUUAUUGAUAAAAUCAAUGUUCAAAAAAUUGCUAGACAGUCAGUAAGCGAUUUUAUUUUCGGAAAAUUGAUUCGCUUAUGAUUGAUUUGCCGCUUAGGCGAGAACCUUGCCGCCACGUAUACAAAUUUUUAGAACACUGGAUAAAACUAUACAAGCAUGGGCAAAAUAUCUAAAACCUAAAGUCCAAACCCGAACAGAAGAAACAUAAUGUAUAUAAGGUAUGAGAUGUAAAAAUACCCGAAUAAAUACUGUAGGGUUGUAUACAAUAUAUAUGAACCCGAAAUGUUAUCAACCGAAUUUGACAGUAACCAAAAGACUAAAAAUCCGGAAAAAAUGGAAAAAACCCCAAGCCAAAGAUCCAAAAUACAUAUUUGAAACGUGCAUAAUUACCUUAAACACUCAAUUUCUUGUUCAACUAUAGGUCUAAUUUUCGAGGCUAGAGCAUAUCUUGGUUGUGUAUUACAAUUAUACACUUAAGCCUUUACUCUCAGUAUCUGGCUUUUGAUAUGAUGAUUCAAACUUUAAUUUUAGGGUUACCGUUUAUUUUUGAGUUUACAGGAUUACCAGCAGAGACAUUGAUCGACAGGUACGUGACAGUGGGUGCAUACAGUCUUCUGAGAUCAUGUACCAUCGAACCAGAGUGCAUCAUCGGGCAACAUUCAAUACUAAUGGAAGGUUCGCUGGUUGAGACCCGCUCAAUCCUGGAAGCUGGUUCGGUUGUGCCACCAGGAAGAAGAAUCCCAUCAGGUGAACUAUGGGGAGGCAAUCCAGCAAGGUUUAUUAGAACGCUAACUAACGAAGAAACCUUAGAGAUCCCGAAACUCGCUGUAGCUAUCAACCAUUUAAGCGGAGAUUACUUCUCUGAGUUCUUGCCUUACUCCACUGUCUACUUAGAGGUAGAGAAGUUCAAAAAGUCACUUGGAAUCACUGUUUAGAGUCUCCUAGAAGCUUCUAUUAUUGGUUUCGUGUGCUUGCCUGUUGUAUGAGACCUCUCUGCAUAUUGCAAUAAGUAGCUGAAGAGCAUUAAAACAUUCGAAUGUUUGCCUUUUUUUUUCUUUUUUUUUUUUUGGUUUCUUUGUUAAAUUAAGAUUUAAAACUGAUUUUGGCUGGAUAAAUAUCUUAAUGAUAAUGGCGAUGAGUUCUUGUUUUGUUGUUUGUGGACAAGCAAAGAUAUGCUCAAGUACGUAACCAAAAUAAAAUAAACAAAACAAUAAAGCAUCAGAGUGGAACGAAGAAAGCAAUACCAGAGUGAAGUGAACCAUCGUUUAGAAUUCUAUGGAAAUUUUCUAUUCAUGUUCCAAAUCUUAUGAAUGUCACAUCCAAUAAAAAAUGUUUUUUAAUAGAAUCCAUCGAGAUUGGGCUAGUUUAGUGAUGUUUCUAGACAGAUUCGUGUAAUCUUCGAAGUGUUGAGUAGCGACUAGUGAGCGAUAUAUGUAUAUAUUUAUACCGGAUUUUGUUUAUUGAUUUACUAUAAGAUCCUAUACUCCGGUCCUCUUAUCUGUUUUCUAUUGUUUAUACUGGUCGUAAAUGAUUGAUUUGUAAUGGAAACGACAUCAUUGACAAAACAAAAUAAAAGAAGAAACCCACAAAAACUGCGAUAUGAA